UGUUUACCUGCCUGCUUUGCAGUGAACUCCUCCCUAUUGUAAGCUUUGUGUCUGCCAGUCCUUCAAGCGGAAGUUAUACUUGAAUACUCACCUGAUUGCUCUGCAGUGAAGCUCCUCCAGCCUCCUUCGAGAGGAAGUUAUACCUGAAUACUCACCUGAUUGCUCUGCAGUGAAGCCCUUCAAGCUGUAAGUUCUCUGUCUGUUAUUGUUGAAGAAGAGGAUUACGUAUCGGUGUAUUUACCUGCCUGCUUUGCAGUGAACUCCUCCCAUUGUAAGCUCUGUGUCUGCCAGUCCUUCAAGAGGAAGUCAUACCUGAAUACACACCUGAUUGCUUUGCAGUGAAGCUCCUCCAGCUGUAAGUUCUCUGUCUGUCAUUAUUGAAGAAGAGGAUUAUGUAUCUGUGUAUCUACCUGCCUGCUUUGCAGUGAACUUCUCCCAUUGUAAGCUCUGUGUCUGCCAGUCCUUCAAGAGGAAGUUAUAUCUGAAUACUCACCUGAUUGCUCUGCAGUGAAGCUCUCCAGCUCCCUUCAAGAGGGAGUUACAUUUGAAUACUCACCUGAUUGUUUUGCAGUGAAGUUCCUCCAACUGUAAGUUCUCUGACUGUCCUUGUUGAAGAGAAGGAUUACGUAUCUGUGUAUUUACCUGCCUGCUUUGCAGUGAACUUCUCCCAUUGUAAGCUCUGUAUCUGCCAGUCCUUCAAGAGGAAGUCAUAUCUGAAUACUCACCUGAUUGCUUUGCAGUGAAGUUCCUCCAGCUUUCUUUAAGAGGAAGUCAUACCUGAACACUCACCUGAUUGCUUUGCAGUGAAGCUCCUCCAUCUGUAAGUUCCCUGUCUGUCAUUACUGAAGAAGAGGAUUACGUAUCUGUGUAUUCACCUGCCUGCUUUGCAGUGAACUCCUCCCUAUCGUAAGCUCUGUGUCUGCCAGUCCUUCAAGCGGAAGUUAUACUGGAAUACUCACCUGAUUGCUCUGCAGUGAAGCUCCUCCAGCUGUAAGUUCUCUGUUUGUCAUUGCUGAAGAAGAGGAUUAUGUAUCUGUGCAUUCACCUGCCUGCUUUGCAGUGAACUCCUCCCAUUGUAAGCUCUGUGUCUGCCAGUCCUUUAAGAGGAAGUUAUAUCUGAAUACUCACCUGACUGCUUUGCAGUGAAGCUCCUCCAGCUUCCUUCAAGAGGAAGCCAUACCUGAAUACUCACCUGACUGCUUGCAAUGAAGCUCCUCCAGCUGUAAGUUCUCUGUCUGUCAUUGCAAAGCAGACAGGUGAAUACAGAGAUACGUAAUCCUCUUCUUCAGCAGUGAACUUCCCCUAUUGUAAGCUCUGUGUCUGCCAGCCCAUCAAGAGGAUUUCAUAUUGGAAUACAUCCCGGAGUGCCUGGUAGUGGAGCUCCUCAGCCGUUAGUUUUCUGCCUGUCAUCUGCAGAAGAAGAGUACGUAUCCAAAACACGUACCUUAACUGUCCCAUCUCAGACCCUCCGGUCGUAAGUCCUGACCCAUCCUCCCCUUGGGAAGAAGGGAGUACGUCACCUGAAAUACGUACUUGAAUAGUCCUACAGCAGUCUCCUCCCAGUGUGAGCCCUGACCCGUCUUUCCCAUUGGAAGAUAGCGAAGCCAUUCACUAGAGCACCCCCCUAUAUCGCACUCUGUGGGUCCGCAGGACGGAACGACCCUGCCCAGAAGACUCAUCAUUUUUAGAUUCCCUUUUUAUAUUCAAUAAAAUACGGUGUUACUUGAA
Molecule: long non-coding RNA, 1728 nt
Organism: Megalobrama amblycephala (Wuchang bream)
Lineage: Eukaryota; Metazoa; Chordata; Actinopteri; Cypriniformes; Xenocyprididae
Exons: 2
Source: RefSeq, a predicted model, not a curated record